Molecule: ribosomal RNA, 156 nt
Filed under: Triticum aestivum (bread wheat)
Lineage: Eukaryota; Viridiplantae; Streptophyta; Magnoliopsida; Poales; Poaceae
Description: rRNA 5_8S_rRNA
Rfam family: 5.8S ribosomal RNA
About the family: 5.8S ribosomal RNA (5.8S rRNA) is a component of the large subunit of the eukaryotic ribosome. It is transcribed by RNA polymerase I as part of the 45S precursor that also contains 18S and 28S rRNA.
Source: RNAcentral
GACUCUCGGCAACGGAUAUCUCGGCUCUCGCAUCGAUGAAGAACGUAGCGAAAUGCGAUACCUGGUGUGAAUUGCAGAAUCCCGCGAACCAUCGAGUCUUUGAACGCAAGUUGCGCCCGAGGCCACUCGGCCGAGCGCACGCCUGCCUGGGCGUCA